UGACUUGGUCUCUACAUGUUGCCCUGUCCUGUCUUUCUCAUUUCCACAGGUUCUCGUGCCUUUUUGAAUACCUUUGUAGUGAGGAGCCGGCUGCCUCCCCACCUCUUCUCACUUCUGCUGUUUUGUGAUCUUGCCGUUUUAAUGAGAGCACAGUCAAUAACUAUGGAGAGGUGCUGACGACAUUACAAAGGAACUCGCCCUUAACAAGUCAACUGUAGACGAGGUGCCAACGGGAUGGACAAGAGGAUUAAAGUAUUUAUGCCAAAAUAUCAGAAGCACACGCAGAAUUAGCUCCCUUCGUGUUAGAUAUUUUACUUUUGGCAAGUCCGUAUUUAAAAAUCUUUUAUCCUUGUUUUGCUUAAAGUAUUACAAUAAGCCCUGGAUUUUUCACAGUUACACUUGUAUAUUUUCACAGCUGUUUUAAUCAGAAAAAAUUAAUGUGCUUUUGAUAGCUCAGAAAUCUAUCACUGGCAAAAGCUUUGCAAAGAUGUGCUAUGGAGCAGAGUGGAAUCCUCAACAUCAUACAUUUUACUGGCUAUUUGAAAUUCAUAGAAUUUCCCCUAAAUAUUUUCUUUUGCAAUUCUUGCCUAAAUUAAUCUAACAGCUCGGGCUGACAUCUUUGAUAAUCUCUUU
This 633-nucleotide long non-coding RNA is filed under the name Homo sapiens (human). RNAcentral describes it as "HSALNT0032174". The record is from RNAcentral. Lineage: Eukaryota; Metazoa; Chordata; Mammalia; Primates; Hominidae.